This is a long non-coding RNA of Canis lupus familiaris (dog), 4988 nucleotides long. RefSeq lists it as uncharacterized. The transcript is spliced from 3 exons. Lineage: Eukaryota; Metazoa; Chordata; Mammalia; Carnivora; Canidae. The record is from RefSeq and is a predicted model, not a curated record.
GCCGGGGCGGGGCGGGGGGCGCGCCCGCGUGGAGAAUCGAGCGGAAUCAAGCAGCCCCGCGUUUGCUUUGGCAGCUGCGAAGGUGCACAGGUGCACGGGGAGGGGCUGGCGCGGCCUCGGCGGGAGGUCAUUAGCGGAGCCUCGCCUCGGGCGCCCAAAUUCGCGAGUUGCGUAAGCGGCGCUCCCGGCACGGGGCAGCGGGAGGUGCGCGGGCCCGCCGCCUGCCGCCGCCUGCCGCCUCCCUGUGGCCCACCGCGACAGCCUCAUGCCCACAGCCCCCGCUUUGCACUAGAUGCUACGUUGAACUGUUUCUCUCCUUGCUUCUGCUGACGCUGGCCCGCCUGCCUGGCUUGCCUCCCGCCUACCUUUGCCCGACUGAUUCCACUAGCCCUUUAAGACUCGGAUCUGUCACUUUGCCCAGCAGCUACCCCUCCCCGCCGGUAGGUGCUCGCCCUCUGGGCUCCUUGGCUUCCUGUUUACACCUCUGUGACUGCGCUGGGUUUUGCACACGGUUUUGUGUAUCCUUCCUCAAGUUCCUUGAAGCGAAGGGCCAUAGAAGGAGCCUCUUGCCCUCAAAGAGCUUUCCAUCUCCUUAGAGAAGUAAGGCUAGCCAUAGAACCGUGGAACUGCUACAGAACAAUCGAGGAGGCUACAUUCAGGAGCUGAUCUGGGUGAUACACAAAGAUGGUGGGAGCAGGGUCUCAAUCCAUUGGGGUCAGGGAACUGUGACAGCCCCGGUGAUGUGCUGCCAGUUUAAUUAGGAUUCCUGGCUGAUUGGUGGAGUCAAGCCUUUAGCAAAAACAGUAUUGCUACAUUUUUACAGAUUAAAGGGGUGGUGACUUCCAAAGGGUCAUUGGCACCCUUUCCUAAAACACAUGGAUUUCAACAGGCCUCUCUGAUUAGGGAGGGAGGGUGGAGAGUGGGGGAGCCUGAUUAGAAAUCAGCAGAACUUGGGUAUUUUGUGACACAGUCCUGGUGGGUACAUCUGUUACAAACUGAGUAUCUUCUGAAUUCAAGUCCCAUUUAGUUUCACUUUGAUUUUGCUGAUCCGUGGCCUGUGGCACGCUGAGUGUCAAAGAAGGAAGUAAAAUCUUUGGCCAGAUUUUGUUUUUAACUACUUAAAAGGGAAGUGAUAUGACAAGUGGAAGGAAAAGUGCAUAGAAUUGAACAUCAAAUCCGUGGGAUGUUGAACCUUAGAUUCCUUAUCUGUAAAGCGAGUGGGUUGGCCUGGGCGGUCUUUAAGGUCCCUUCUGGCUCUAACAUUCUACACUUUUAGGAUUUUAAUUCCUGGUUGACAUUUGGCUAACCAGAAGACACCGGAUGAGAGACCAGCUUAUUAAAGAACAUCUCUCUAGGGACGACUGGAGUGAGCACUGGCCUGGGAGUCUGAAGAUUGUGCCUUUAGAUCUUCUUCAUCACGAAAGCUGGUGACUUUCAGCAAUCACCUAGCUUCUCUGGGACUUAUUUUCCUUAUCUAUAGCUACUAAGAAGGGAUUAGAUUAGGUGAUUUAUUGAAGAUCCCUCUGGCUCUUAAUUUCUACUUGCCAGUCUUAAGAAUGGUUUGUUAGUAAUGGCUAGGUCAGGAGCUCUCUGACGUUGGAGUCAAUUUAUGGCUUCAAAUCCAAGCUCUGCCACUCACUUCCCUUUGGCCUUUUGCUCAGCUCCUCUGCACCUAAGUUUCCUUUUCUGUUACAUGGGGAUGUCUGCUCUGUCCACUUCAGAAGACUCUCGCAGAGGUUAAAUGUGUGUGAGAGAACUUGCUAAACUUUAAAUGUUGUAUAUAUUUUACGAGGUAUUCGUUGCUGCUUCAGAUGUUGAUCAGCGGAGAUAAAUCUUCAAGGUGUUACUGGGGAGAAGCCUGGCUCUGAAAUGAAGCAGGCAGCUGGAGGUUGACUUUGUGAGUUCUCCUGUUGGGAGUUCUAGAGGCAGAGGAGCCUUGGCCCUGCUUUGGUGGUGGUGGUGGGGAUGGUGGCUUGUGCACUUGUGUAGCAAUCUGGGAAGUAAGAAGGGAAACAGGGCACAGCUCAGCAAGAAGGGAAGCCUUCAGCCAGGAUGAAGUGGUGCGGCGAACGUCACCCGCCGUGACCCUCAAGGACCUGUCUUCCCCUUUUUUCUGGGGGGUCGGGUGAGGUGAGAAGAAAAAUGGCUAAUUGUUAAAAAGUACACGUGGAGAAAGUCGUAAAACUGUAAGGCUAUCUGAAGUAUUGUUGGAUUCUGGGAAAUUCUAUUUUCCUUAUUCUCUGUAUUUUCCAAAUUUUCCAUAAUGAAUAUGUAUUUUUUGAAUCAGAAAAAUAAAAAGUUUUUAAAAAUUGGAGGAGAUCGUUUUUACAAAUGUGGGUUCAUCUUUCUUCCUGCUUUUCUCAUUUUAUUAAAGAUAUAAUAAAAAUGUUAUUGAAAUUAGGAUAUGUUGUGUCUUCCAAAUCAAUGUUAGAUUUCUGUGCUUUUUACCUAUAUGUUUUUAUAGUUUGAAGGGGCUGGGAUGUUGAAACCACCUAUUUAAAUUCUUUGGAAAUAUUUAAAAAACAGUUUUAUCAGGUUUAAGAAAGUUUUGAGUACAACAGAAUACUAAAAACUUAGCAUGCCCCCUAAAUCUGUCUUAUCACCUCUAUUUCAUGAAAAAAAAAUUCAAAAAUAGUUUAUCAUUGACCUGUAAGUCCUACUUUUAGGAAUUCAUCCUGAGGCAAUAAUUGGACAAGUACAUGAAGGGAGAGGAAUGUUCAUCACAGAGCUUUUUUAUAUGAUAGAAGAAAUGUGAGCCAACUUAAACAUAUAAAAAUAGAGGAUUAGCUUACAAGUCAUGCUGUCAUUAAUGGGACCAUAGAUGUAUUUGACAUACAAAUAUAUCAAUUCCCAUCAUUAAGUUAAAAAGCCUAUUAGCAAAGCUAUCUAUCUCUCUACACAAAAAUUCCAUUUUCUAUUCAAAGAAAGGGGGUCUACAUAGACUUAGAGACAAAUGUGUGAAAAGAUAUCUGUUGGUAGUUGUUGACUUUAGAUAGUGGGAUUAUGGACUUUCUCCCCCUGACUUAUUUUCUCAUUUUUCCAUGACAAAUAUGUAUUACUUGUUAACUUUUUAAAGGUGAAAAUAACUUUUUAAAGUUGAAAAUAGUUUUGUGAAAUAAGAUGGCUAAAUGGACUCAGGUUGUGUGACAAAACAUUUAUUAAAUAACAAAAUAAAUGUAUCAUUUUCUGUAUAAAAAGUCUUUUUUCCUAUGUUUAUUCUCAGUUGGACAUAUAUUAGGAAAUUUCUUAAUACACAAGAUUGAUUCUAAUUGUUAUUAAAUAUAAUAUUAAUUAUUAACUUGUUAAUUAGCAUGUGAACUAACGUGAGCCACUUGAUUCUUCAACACCUCAGGUUCUUUUUCACUGAAAUGGAGCUAAUAUUUCAUUAAUAAGUUUGUUGUGGGGAUUUAAGAGGCUGUGGUAAACAAUGAUCCCAUAAUUAUAUGUGUGAAAGUACUGUGGAACGCGUGGGCUACUUAACUACCAACAAUUGUUAAUUAUUCACUAAUCAACAAUAAUAGUAUUUGCUGGGUACUUGAAAACUAUUAGUACUUGCUUAGUAAAUAAGAUUAAGAGAAGGAGCCUACAAAUGACUAGUAAGUGGAAAACAAUAAUUAAUACACUGCUAUGGGUAAGUUCUAACAAGGAAGAACAUUUUAUAUGCUGUUGGUAUUCAAGGCCAGCGAAGUCACUGAGAAUGAUUAGGGGGGUAGGAAAACUAUGGAAGAGGACAAUGCCUUCCAUGUGGAAAUGGUUCUUGAACUGGCCUUGAAAAUGGGAAGGAUGUGGCUGAACAAUGGAAAGCAUUAGCAACAUGAAUAAGAAGAUAGAGAUGAGAGACAGCUGGGUGGUCUACUCAGCUGGUGAGGAGAAUGGCUUGGCUGAAGUGGAUGGUUUGAAUUAGUGAAUGUGUUGGUUAGAUAAACUCAGGGCCAGAUCACGGGGAACACCAAAACCUGCACAAAGAAGUACCAAGUUGGUAGAAGAAAUAGGAUUCCAACCCCAAGACCCUUUCACUCUCAGCAGAUGAUCCAGGAAUAUCUGUUUCCACAGCUGAACUGACAAACUCACCUGGAUCUGCAUCUGUCCUUUCCUCUUACAUCAAUGAAAGCUACUGUGGAUGAUCUGUUUACCUCUAUGCUUUGCACCGUGUGUGUGUGUGUGAAAAUGUCCCCCUUUUGAACCAUUAUAACCAUUUUUUAGGUGUACAAUUUAGUGGCAUUAAUUACAUGAUGUUGUGCAACCAUCACCAGUAUCUAUUUCAAGAAACUACCCAUGAAGCGAUAACUCCUCAUCCCCUGGUAACCUCUGAUUUACUUUCCAUCAUUACGUAUUUGACUACUCUAGAUACCUCAUGUAAGUGGAAUCAUACAGUAUUUGUCUUUUUGUGUCUGGCUUAUUUCACUUGGCCUAAUGUUUUCAAAGUUCAUCUAUGUCAUAGCCUAUAUUAGAACCUCAUUACUUUUUAUGUCUGAAUAAUAUUCCACUACAGAGAUUGUCCAUUUGAAAUGAAAUGACAAUAGAAGAGGGUAGUUUUUCCUUUUGUUUUUAAGGCCAUAUAUGAAAAAUGUUGUCAACUUUAUGUCAGUACCCUGGAAUUUGAAUUUCUUGGACUCUUUGCACAUCAACCAAAGUCUGAGAACCACACUCUAGUACAUGUUGCAUCCUUUGCAAUGUUCCAGUUCCUUUUGGCACCAUUGUUAUACGUUUUCAGUUAGGCUCAAAGGGUGCUUGCUGACAGCUGUCUUUUCUUUUAUUCAUGUCUCCACAUAACAUGAAAUUUUCCAUCAAGAGAAACAGCUUUCCAUUUUUUGGCACUAGAGCUUUCCAAGGAAGUGAGAGGAUGCUUUCCUGAUGUGAUGCAAUGAUAAGACAGAGAGCCUUUACUUCUACACGGAGUGAAGAGGCUAGUGGGAGUGACUCUGAAAGAGGAAGAGAGUGAGGGAGACCACAAGCAGGAGGGAGGAGCAGGCUCCCACAGAGCAGGG